RNAcentral lists this ribosomal RNA (253 nucleotides) under uncultured bacterium. RNAcentral's name for it is "partial 16S ribosomal RNA". It matches the Rfam family "Bacterial small subunit ribosomal RNA", at positions 524 to 776 of the family's 1533-position model. The record is from RNAcentral.
GACGAACCGUGCGAACGUUGUUCGGAAUCACUGGGCUUAAAGGGUGCGUAGGCGGGCAUUCAAGUCAGGGGUGAAAUCCUCCAGCUUAACUGGAGAACUGCCUCUGAUACUGGAUGCCUCGAGUGAGGUAGGGGCGUGCGGAACUGAUGGUGGAGCGGUGAAAUGUGUUGAUAUCAUCAGGAACGCCGGUGGCGAAAGCGGCGCGCUGGACCUUAACUGACGCUGAGGCACGAAAGCCAGGGGAGCGAACAGG